UGUCUGUCGUCUGCGGCGAUGUAUUAUUUGUUUACUUGGAGCCGUCGCAGCAGAAGUCUCGUCUACUUUCACGGGGCCCCACCAGGGGGCAGCACAAUGCAGACCGCCCACCGGCGGGAUGAGAAAAUGGUGUGUCAUGAUAGAGCUCUGGUCAAUCGUCAAACCUCUCACUUUGGUUAUUCUUGACUCCCGCUUGGUGUCACCACCCACCGCGCAGAUCAAGGAAUAGUUUUUAGCACCGGCGGCGCAGAAACGCAACCCAAAGGAGCCUUUCCCCAGAUCGUCAGACAAUUGGUCCGAUAAAUCCCCCAGAUGCUCACCCAGGGGAGGGUCGUCGAGUCCUUCUCUUGACACAAAACAAAUGGAAUCUGGAUGGUAACAGAAGAAGGUAAACAAUUUGAGGGCUCGAUCCUCAAGCAUGUCGAGAUACUCAUACAAGACCAUCCGACCAUGGGCUGUUGUGAAAGCAGCAUGAACCAAACUUGUUGUUGGUUUGCUGUCUUCUAAAUCUUCAUGCUCAGUGAAAGUCAACUGCAUGAUGUUUUCAGUCAAAGGCAGGAGUCCAGAAAUAGUCAAUGAGGAAUUCUCUGUAAACGUUGACAGUUCAGCAAAGUUCUUGACAAAUGCUGUCUGGGGUCGCAGCGUUUUCUCUCCAAGUUUACCCCCUGCAAUGAAAAGAAAACUGUUGAGGAUCAACUUGGCAAGUGUGCGUUUCCCUGGAUUCUUUUUGAACUUGGACUUGUCCAGCACGAUACCAUCCUUGUCAAAAUGCAUUUUGAUAAAUUUAUCUUUUUGUUCUUCUGUCACAACAUGACUCGGCCAACCUGUGGACUCUAUUUUCAUUGCCAUGUUUUCCCUGACCUAAUUUUAACUCUGGUGCACACCAAGUUCCGAGCAUUUCUCUCUCCUUAUCACUAUGGUUACAAACAUUUUGAUUCAUCGUCUCAGCACAAGUUCUACACAGAGGAAAGAGAAGUUUCUUACAACAUCUAUAAGGAUCCCCUUCACAAAAUAUAUCUGGAUGGCCUUCAGGAUAACAUCUAUGAUGUUGACACGCCGGGUACUCGGAAAUUACGUCGAACAUCUUGAUUUUCUCAUUUUGCUUUAGAUCAGCUACAUAUUCACAAAACAACGCUGAAGUACGGCCACCAUAUAAAGCAUCUCGAAGAUUAAGUGGCUCAACUCGAGUAAAAGGGAUCCUCCUUCGAUCGACCUCUAAUUCUAGUUCUAGCAUUUUGAUCUGGAAUACACUUCUUACAAAGAUGAAAGUAACAACCAUGGUAUUGAUAGAUACGCUUCUCAAUAGAACCAUCUGCUUUUUGAAGUUCGACAUAGCCAUCCACAGGAUUGUUCAACACAUAAACUUCCCCCACCACGGGGGACAAUACCUAUUUGAGUACUGCCAAGAUGAUUUCUACGAAAAUUACACAUACAUGCAGAAGAUAAGGUUAUGCAAUUGAAAAGAGGAUCAAACCCGGCAGUUUCCAUAAAUAAAUCCUUGAAAGACUGUAAGGCUUCUCUUAAUAUAUUGACAUCUGAUUGACAGUAAGAAAUUAUUUCAUUUUUAAAAUUAAAUACAUAAUCUGAUGCUACUUGAUCAUCAUACCAUUUGUUAAAUUCAGCAAGAUCACCAUCAGAAAAUGAAGUGGUGCAGUAGAGAUCUUUUGGAGGCAUGGGGCCUGAAUAUUCCCAAUACUCAGAAGAAUUUCCGUAAUGGGGAAAGAAUCCUUUCUUUAACUCAGUUAAGCCAAAAGAUUUAGGUAUGCUGCUGAGUCUCAUUGGUAUAAACAUCAAAGAAUCUUUAAAAGAUAGGGCAUCUGUUGUUAAGUUUAAUAUUUUAGCACCAGAUAAGGUAACUUUAGGAGUGAUAUUUUUCUUCUCAAUCAAAGUCUUGGUGAUAAAAUAGCCAUCAUAUGAUUUUAAGUUAUGUGCAAAACAAGUAAUAUGUGUCCUUCGCUCACUCGUUAAAUCAGUUAAAUAAUUUAAAAAAUCAAGUACAACAUCUGAAUUUUCGUCAAAGCCUUCAAAGAUGUGCUCUCGCACGCCACAUUCCUCACAAUCAUUUUUAAUAUUACUAUCUUUCUCACAGUGAUCACAAACUUGCUGACAAAUUAACAGAUUUGGCUUGUGUUCUUUCCAGUUUUCUUUACCUUCAAAAG
This is a long non-coding RNA of Frankliniella occidentalis (western flower thrips), 2159 nucleotides long. RefSeq lists it as uncharacterized. The record is from RefSeq and is a predicted model, not a curated record. The transcript is spliced from 8 exons. NCBI's taxonomy places the organism in Eukaryota, Metazoa, Arthropoda, Insecta, Thysanoptera, Thripidae.